RNAcentral lists this ribosomal RNA (427 nucleotides) under uncultured bacterium. Its description in RNAcentral is "partial 16S ribosomal RNA". It matches the Rfam family "Bacterial small subunit ribosomal RNA", at positions 355 to 774 of the family's 1533-position model. The record is from RNAcentral.
UGGGGAAUAUUGCACAAUGGGCGCAAGCCUUAUGCAGCCAUGCCGCGUGUAUGAAGAAGGCCUUCGGGUUGUAAAGUACUUUCAGCGGGGAGGAAGGUGUUGAGGUUAAUAACCUCAGCAAUUGACGUUACCCGCAGAAGAAGCACCGGCUAACUCCGUGCCAGCAGCCGCGGUAAUACGGAGGGUGCAAGCGUUAAUCGGAAUUACUGGGCGUAAAGCGCACGCAGGCGGUCUGUCAAGUCGGAUGUGAAAUCCCCGGGCUCGACCUGGGAACUGCAUUCGAAACUGGCAGGCUAGAGUCUUGUAGAGGGGGGUAGAAUUCCAGGUGUAGCGGUGAAAUGCGUAGAGAUCUGGAGGAAUACCGGUGGCGAAGGCGGCCCCCUGGACAAAGACUGACGCUCAGGUGCGAAAGCGUGGGGAGCAAACA